GUUAGGAAUAUUGGACAAUGGGCGCAAGCCUGAUCCAGCCAUGCCGCGUGAACGAUGAAGGCCUUCGGGUUGUAAAGUUCUUUAGCCGAUGAUUAUAAUGACUGUAGUCGGAAAAUAAGCCCCGGCUAACUUCGUGCCAGCAGCCGCGGUAAUACGAAGGGGGCGAGCGUUAUUCGGAAUCACUGGGCGUAAAGCGUGCGUAGGCGGCUUUGCAAGUUGGGAGUGAAAGCCCAGGGCUCAACCCUGGAAUUGCUCUCAAAACUGCAAGGCUCGAAUUCGGGAGAGGAUAGCGGAAUUGUCAGUGUAGCAGUGAAAUGCGUAGAUAUUGACAGGAACACCGGUGGCGUAAGCGGCUAUCUGGACCGAUAUUGACGCUGAGGCACGAAAGCGUGGGGAUCAAACAGGAUUAGAAACCCUAGUAGUCC
Molecule: ribosomal RNA, 425 nt
Filed under: uncultured bacterium
Lineage: Bacteria
Description: partial 16S ribosomal RNA
Rfam family: Bacterial small subunit ribosomal RNA
Source: RNAcentral